RNAcentral lists this ribosomal RNA (465 nucleotides) under Vreelandella stevensii. RNAcentral describes it as "partial 16S ribosomal RNA". It matches the Rfam family "Bacterial small subunit ribosomal RNA", at positions 338 to 795 of the family's 1533-position model. Lineage: Bacteria; Pseudomonadati; Pseudomonadota; Gammaproteobacteria; Oceanospirillales; Halomonadaceae. The record is from RNAcentral.
CCUACGGGAGGCUGCAGUGGGGAAUAUUGGACAAUGGCGGCAACCCUGAUCCAGCCAUGCCGCGUGUGUGAAGAAGGCCCUCGGGUUGUAAAGCACUUUCAGUGAGGAAGAACGCCUGGUGGUUAAUACCCAUCAGGAAAGACAUCACUCACAGAAGAAGCACCGGCUAACUCCGUGCCAGCAGCCGCGGUAAUACGGAGGGUGCGAGCGUUAAUCGGAAUUACUGGGCGUAAAGCGCGCGUAGGUGGCUUGAUAAGCCGGUUGUGAAAGCCCCGGGCUCAACCUGGGAACGGCAUCCGGAACUGUCAAGCUAGAGUGCAGGAGAGGAAGGUAGAAUUCCCGGUGUAGCGGUGAAAUGCGUAGAGAUCGGGAGGAAUACCAGUGGCGAAGGCGGCCUUCUGGACUGACACUGACACUGAGGUGCGAAAGCGUGGGUAGCAAACAGGAUUAGAUACCCGAGUAGUC